GGCGGGAUAGAGAAGUGGCAUCUUGCCAGGCUCAUAACCUGGAGAUCCUCGGUUCGAGUCCGAGUCCCGCCU
Molecule: transfer RNA, 72 nt
Filed under: Gemmatimonadota bacterium
Lineage: Bacteria; Pseudomonadati; Gemmatimonadota
Description: tRNA-Met
Rfam family: tRNA
About the family: Transfer RNA (tRNA) molecules are approximately 80 nucleotides in length. Their secondary structure includes four short double-helical elements and three loops (D, anti-codon, and T loops). Further hydrogen bonds mediate the characteristic L-shaped molecular structure. tRNAs have two regions of fundamental functional importance: the anti-codon, which is responsible for specific mRNA codon recognition, and the 3' end, to which the tRNAs corresponding amino acid is attached (by aminoacyl-tRNA synthetases). tRNAs cope with the degeneracy of the genetic code in two manners: having more than one tRNA (with a specific anti-codon) for a particular amino acid; and 'wobble' base-pairing, i.e. permitting non-standard base-pairing at the 3rd anti-codon position.
Source: RNAcentral